GAGGCUAUAGCUCAAGUGGUAGAGCACAUGCCUAGCAUGCACAAGGUCCUGGGUUUAAUCCCCAGUACCUCCU
RNAcentral lists this transfer RNA (73 nucleotides) under Camelus bactrianus (Bactrian camel). It matches the Rfam family "tRNA". From Rfam's summary of the family: Transfer RNA (tRNA) molecules are approximately 80 nucleotides in length. Their secondary structure includes four short double-helical elements and three loops (D, anti-codon, and T loops). Further hydrogen bonds mediate the characteristic L-shaped molecular structure. tRNAs have two regions of fundamental functional importance: the anti-codon, which is responsible for specific mRNA codon recognition, and the 3' end, to which the tRNAs corresponding amino acid is attached (by aminoacyl-tRNA synthetases). tRNAs cope with the degeneracy of the genetic code in two manners: having more than one tRNA (with a specific anti-codon) for a particular amino acid; and 'wobble' base-pairing, i.e. permitting non-standard base-pairing at the 3rd anti-codon position. Lineage: Eukaryota; Metazoa; Chordata; Mammalia; Artiodactyla; Camelidae. RNAcentral also lists the same sequence under 2 other names. The record is from Rfam by way of RNAcentral.